UCCGAGUUGUCCCCGGCAGUCCUCUUAGAGUCCCCGGCAUUACCCGCUGGCAACUAAGAGCAGGGGUUUCGCUCGUUAUAGGACUUGACCAAACAUCUCACGACACGAGCUGACGACAGCCAUGCAGCACCUGUGCUAGCCCCUUACGGACACGGGCUUUCACCCGCUUUAACUAGCAUGUCAAACCCAGGUAAGGUUCUUCGCGUUGCAUCGAAUUAAACCACAUGCUCCACCGCUUGUGCAGGCCCCCGUCAAUUUCUUUGAGUUUUAACCUUGCGGCCGUACUCCCCAGGCGGAUAACUUAAUGCGUUAGCUGCGCCACCAAAACCCUAAGGGCCCUGACAGCUAGUUAUCAUCGUUUACGGCGUGGACUAC
This 375-nucleotide unclassified non-coding RNA is filed under the name uncultured bacterium. RNAcentral describes it as "contains 16S-23S intergenic spacer region". The record is from RNAcentral.